CCUACGGGAGGCAGCAGUGGGGAAUAUUGGACAAUGGGGGGAACCCUGAUCCAGCGACGCCGCGUGAGUGAAGACGUAUCUCGGUAUGUAAAGCUCUAUCAGCAGGGAAGUAAGAAAUGACGGUACUUGACUAAGAAGCCUCGGCUAACUAUGUGCCAGCAGCCGUGGCAAUACGUCGGGGGCAAGCGUUAUCCGGAUUUACUGGGUGUAAAGGGAGCGUAGACGGCGAUGCAAGUCUGAAGUGAAAGGCGGGGGCCCAACCCCCGGGCUGCAUUGGAAACUGUAUGGCUGGAGUGCAGGGGAGGCAGGUGGAAUUCCUAGUGUAGCGGUGAAAUGCGGAGAUAUUAGGAAGAACACCGGUGGCGAAGGCAGCUUACUGGACUGUAACUGACGUUGAGGCUCGAAAGCGUGGGGAGCGAACAGGAUUAGAUACCCGAGUAGUC
RNAcentral lists this ribosomal RNA (443 nucleotides) under uncultured bacterium. RNAcentral describes it as "partial 16S ribosomal RNA". It matches the Rfam family "Bacterial small subunit ribosomal RNA", at positions 338 to 795 of the family's 1533-position model. The record is from RNAcentral.